This is a long non-coding RNA of Culex quinquefasciatus (southern house mosquito), 296 nucleotides long. RefSeq lists it as uncharacterized. NCBI's taxonomy places the organism in Eukaryota, Metazoa, Arthropoda, Insecta, Diptera, Culicidae. The record is from RefSeq and is a predicted model, not a curated record. The transcript is spliced from 3 exons.
CUCUCGAUCUGUCAAAGUUCGUGAGCCGUCGAGGACGACAUUCCGUGCGUUUGUUCCGUCGGUGAAAGUUUGGGACUUUUUUCGUGUCUUGCAAUUUGCGGGAGGAGAUUAUUGGGAACCUGUGUUUAGUGAACUUUGUGAAUUUUUGGUGAAAAGAAACAGUUUUUGGUGAUACUUUUUUUCCCUGAAAGGACUUUAAAAUCGCUCCUGUAGGCUUACGACAAGGACAACAACGGAACCAACCAUUUAUUUAAGAAAGGAAACAUAUUGGAAAAUAAUCAUUUUCAGUAAGGUAA